AUACUUACCUGGCGUAGGGUGAUACCGUGAUCAAGUAGGCGGUUCCUCCAGGGCGAGGCUGCUCCAUUGCACUGCGGAACGGUUGACCCUUGCGAUUACCCUUAAUGCGGGUAGCUUGGUCGCGUUAUUUUCGUAGUGGGGACUGCGUUAAAUUCUGCCGAUCUCAU
RNAcentral lists this small nuclear RNA (167 nucleotides) under Bombyx mandarina (wild silkworm). RNAcentral describes it as "U1 spliceosomal RNA". It matches the Rfam family "U1 spliceosomal RNA". Rfam says of the family: U1 is a small nuclear RNA (snRNA) component of the spliceosome (involved in pre-mRNA splicing). Its 5' end forms complementary base pairs with the 5' splice junction, thus defining the 5' donor site of an intron. Lineage: Eukaryota; Metazoa; Arthropoda; Insecta; Lepidoptera; Bombycidae. The record is from RNAcentral.